RNAcentral lists this ribosomal RNA (1512 nucleotides) under Triticum aestivum (bread wheat). RNAcentral describes it as "partial small subunit ribosomal RNA". Lineage: Eukaryota; Viridiplantae; Streptophyta; Magnoliopsida; Poales; Poaceae. The record is from RNAcentral.
AUGGCAGGCGGCCGCGGCGGCCGUGGCCGCGGCGGCGGAAGGAACCCGGCGACGACCUCCUCCUCCUCCUCAUCGGGGCGGCACAAGUACCGGGUCUCGCGCGAGUUCGGCCAUGAAAGUCCCUUACAAUCUCAAAAGGAGGGGUCGAGUUCAUCUUCUCCAUCAGUCAGCAGUAAAAAAUCACCGCAGCAGAUGGUUACACCAGUUCUGCCAAAGUCUCUUGAUUCACCAGUUGAACCACCGAAGUCUCUCGAUUCUCAGAAGGAAGGGCCAUGUUCAUCUUCUCCCUCAGUUAGCAGUAAAAGAUCGCAGAUGGGUACACCAGUUCUACCAAAGUCUCUAGAUUCACCAGUUCAACCACCAAAGUCUCUCUAUUCACCGCUGAUGAUGGCUAAACAAGUUCAUCCACCGAAAUCUCAAGAUCCACUGGUUCAAACGGUUGCAUCGAUUCAAAUAUCAAGACCUCCAGAAUACAGUAGCGCUUCAUGUGGCUCUGGAGCUGUGGGGUCUCUCGAUUCACCAGUUCAACCAUGGAAGUCUCUCGAUUCAUCACUGAUGAUGUCCGAACAAGUUCAACAACCGAAAUCUCAAGAUUCGCUGGUCCAAAUGGUUGCGUCGAUUCAACUAUCAAACCCUCUAGACUCCAGUAGUGCUUCAACUGGCUCUGGAGCUGUGGGGUCUGAUUUAGGAGCUGCUCCAUUUGAUAUAUGCAUGGGUAACAGCAAAGGCAUUUUCAAGCUAAAUCGCCCUUUACAUGAGAUCAAGAGAGAAGAAAAACGCCUCCGUGCAAGGGAGCUUUCAAACAGUGCAGCUCAGUUGCAACAUCUGAGACCUGGGAUGGUUUUAUUGAAAAGCUUCUUAAAGCCGGAUGAUCAGGUUGAAAUUAUCAAGCUUUGUCGGGAACUUGGUGUUGGCACAGGAGGAUUUUAUCAACCUGCCUACAGAGAUGGUGGUAAGCUAAGUCUGCGGAUGAUGUGCUUAGGGAAGAACUGGGAUCCAGAUUCAAGAUCAUAUGGAGAUAUACGACCCUAUGAUGGGGCUCAACCACCACAGAUGCCACAAGAAUUGACUAAGUUUGUUGAAGAAGCCAUUAAAGCUUCCCAUGAUUUCUUGAAACAAAGAGGCAAGGGAGCUACCGAUCCCGCUGUAGAACUUCCUCUGAUGUCACCUGACAUCUGCAUUGUGAACUUCUACACCACUGGCGGGAAGUUAGGUCUUCAUCAGGACAAAGAUGAAGAUAAAUCUAGCCUUGACAAGGGACUGCCUGUUGUUUCCUUUUCAUUGGGUGACACUGCAGAAUUCUUGUAUGGCGAUGACAGAGAUGUUGAUAAGGCUUCAAAGAUUAAACUUGAAUCUGGUGAUGUUCUGAUAUUUGGUGGUCAAUCAAGGCGCAUAUUCCAUGGGGUCUCCAGCAUUGCGCCGAAAAGUGCACCACUCUGGGUGACCGACAAGGCAAAUCUUCGACCCGGGCGUCUGAACCUCACAUUCAGGCAGCAUAAGUAUGAGCCCUAG